AUCUCUGGGUGAAUGAGGAUGAGAGAGAAAUGGCGGCAGUCAAAGGUGUAACUAAGAUUUAAUGGUAUAGUUGCUGCAAGGAUUCUAAAACCACGAAACCAGUCGACCUCAAGGAGACCUGGACUGCGGAGCAGAAGCCGGC
Trichechus manatus latirostris (Florida manatee) is the source of this 142-nucleotide long non-coding RNA. RefSeq lists it as uncharacterized. The transcript has 2 exons. NCBI's taxonomy places the organism in Eukaryota, Metazoa, Chordata, Mammalia, Sirenia, Trichechidae. The record is from RefSeq and is a predicted model, not a curated record.